UUGACAAUUUAUCGAGUCUCGCUAUAUAUUUCUUGUUAUUGAACGAAUGAAAAUAACGCAUUAUUAUGUAGAUAUCGUAUAUUAUCAUAAUUUUGUCGGCUUAAUCGUGAACAUUACGAAGGUAUAUUUUUUAACGAAAUGAAUAAAUUCCCAGAGAGUUACAAGUUGCAAUAUAUAAUACGUAUAUUUAAAUAUCAUUAUUUUCUUAAAGAUUUAUCGGAAUAUAAAGAAUGCAUUAGUUCGAUUUUUAAAAAAUUUUCUAAUUCAAAAUAACAUUCUUUCGUUAUUUAAGUAGCUUUCACUAUUAAACCGACAUUGUGUUCAAAUGCUAUUUAAACCGAUCUGACAAAUGUAUUUCGUAAAAGAAAAAUUGCAAGUGAAAGAAAGAAAGAGAGAAAGAGAGAAAGAGAGAAUGAAAGAAAGAAUGAAAGAGAUUUUGAUGAAAGGCGUAGAAUUAAAGAAUUUAAUAAAAAAUAAUGUAAAAAAAGUUCUUAACGUUUAAAAUCUUCGUUUAAACUUAUAUAUAUACGAAAUCGAUAAAAAUGGCGAACUUUUCGUUAAAUAUUUUUAUCGAAAGGAUACUUCUUGUAUCCAAUCAAUCUCAGAGAUAUUCUAUAAUAAAUGGAUAUCUUCAACGAUAGUACAUCGACAAUGUAAUAUUUAAUAUAAUUACAUUAAACUUUUUCGUAAAAUAAACGGACAUGUAGUUCUCUAUUAUGAAUUUAUAAUUUAGCGGGCAUCUUGUGACGUCAUCUUUUAGAUAAAUUUCAUAAAAGAUCCGUUAGUGGAGCUAGUAUCUACUACUUACAAAAAUGGUUGCGCCUAUAAGGCAUCAUUUUAUUAUGCGUAGUUGUGUAUCCUAAUAUAUCUCAUUCGUUGUAAACAUUAAAGUUAGAAAAAUGGUACAAAGGAAAAUAUUUGUGUAAAAUUGUAUACUUGUUUACGUCAGUAAUCACAUAUCCAUAGUAAUUAGAUAUAUUGAAAGAAAAGAAAGUCUUUUGGUUACUUACUGUGGAAACAAAUCUUUUAAUAAUGGAUGAGCACACUUUACCUUUCUCAAUGUGUUUUGAAUUCAUCCUAACAAUAUAUCUUGUUUAUCUGCGGAUACCUGUCGUAUUUAUGCAGCUGCAGAAAAUAUUGUAUAUGCAUGGAGAAAAGAAAAUCUAUAGAAAAGGAAUAGAGCUAUAUAGUAGCUUCUCAUUCUGGUCUAGGCACAGUUACUACGUUGUCUUAUGAUUUAUUAAAGAUGGAUGAUCAUAAAUUAUCAGAAAGGUUUAAAAAUAAUCGUAAUGCUACUUGUGCCUUACCAAAUGUGAAAAUUUUGUUAUUAUAGCAAUAAACGUGAAAUGCAUAAAAAUUCGAUAAGGGACAUAGUGAUAGAUGUUUUAAAUAGAAGUUAUUGCUAGAAGGGAUUUCUUAAUAAAACUUUAAUGUUUCAAAUCUAAGAAUGGUAAGUAAAUCUUAAUAGAAAAUAGAAAUAUUUUUUGUAUUUCAAAUUUUUGUUUAAAUUAAAUAUUAUAUAAAAUUAAGAUACAUUCAGAGUUAAAAUGACUACUAUAACACUACCUGAAUCAAUAGAAUGGAUGUGAUAUUACAAAUCACAAUGAAUUGAAUAUAAUUUCAUAACUGUUGCAUUAAAAGAUUUUGCAGUGAUUUUAAUUGAUUUAAAUAUAAAAAAAAUAAUGAGACAUUUUUGUGGACAUAAAGGACAACUUGUAGAUGCAAUAUUUUGUCUUGAUACGAGAUAAUUAAACAUAUCUUCUAUAGAUUGUACAAGGAUUUGGGAUAUCUUAUCUUCUCGUUUAAUGGAUUUAUUUCAAAUAAAGGCUUUGUAUACGUGA
Vespa crabro (European hornet) is the source of this 1841-nucleotide long non-coding RNA. RefSeq lists it as uncharacterized. Lineage: Eukaryota; Metazoa; Arthropoda; Insecta; Hymenoptera; Vespidae. The transcript has 2 exons. The record is from RefSeq and is a predicted model, not a curated record.